UGUAAUGUUGUAUCUGUGAAAGUAUGUUUGUGUAUCUCUCUAAUUAAGGCAUAGAUUAGGGUAUCAUAUCUCAUUCUAUCUUUAAUUAAGGCAUAGAUCAAACGUAUCUUUUUUUGUAUCUUUUCUAGGGUUAGGUUUUCUCUAUUUAAAGGAUUGUUAGCAUUGUAUUACGUAUCUUCUCAAUUAGCAAUACAUAUUCUAUUCUCUCUCAUACGUUCUGUCACAGUAUCAUCCAAAAGAUUCAUAGAAACCUCCACCAAAUGUCAAGUAGUCAACAAUUCUCGUAUAGAGAAUAACUAAAGUACUAAACCAUUAAAAUCAACAAAACGCAAGCAUCCAACAUUUGAAAUGAACUUAAAACAAGUAAUUGUUCUACUUGGCUUUCCAUCUAAGGAUGAUUUACUAAUCAUCAUCAACAUCAACACCAAGUAAAACAGGUCAGUUGAUUGAUCAGAGAGAGAUGAAGUCAAUCAAUUGAUCGAGCGAGAGAGAGAGAGAGAGAGAGAGAGAGAGAGAGAGAGAGAGAGAGAGAGAGUACAUGGGUUUGAUUACCUGUAUUCUGUAUUCUCCCCCAGGUUUGCCGCCAGAGAUACACAGGCGAGUGAGAUUUGAGUCAACUGUUGAAUGGAAUCACUUAAAGAAACCAAAAUCCUAUGGCUGUGAUUGAAUUUCAAAAGGCGAGCCUUUUGUCGCCUCACCGCCUCUCACUCCUUUCUCGCCUAUGUAGUGUUUAGUUAAAGUCACCUCGCCUUGCACCCAUCAAGGCGACAAUCCAUUGCGCGCCUCUUGCCUAGACGAUCGCCUUGAGGCGCCUUUGACAACUAUGGUUGUGAACAACAGAAUGGUUCUUAGUUGCAAGAAUCUCCAAUGUGGUUGGCGAAUCCACCUCGGAACCUCGCUCCCGCGCUCCCAAGUCAGGAACCUCGCUCCCAAUGAGAAGGAACCCGCUCCCAACUAGGAUAGAACCUCUUAGGCAUUUAAAUCCCAAAAGAAACAAAAAUAAAAGAUACCAAGCAAGAUAAAAGACAAAGUAAUGAUUAUUAUUAUUUUUUUGAAAGGCGUAAGGCGUAGUAAUGAUAAGAUAUUAGAAAAAAUUUAACUUAAAUUUGCUCAAUUGCAUAAUGUGAUAACCAUAAUAUUACUUAGUCAUUAAGACAAUCUUUGCAAUUGAUAUGAAUGACGCAUGAUAAUAUUUACUUGCAUUACAUACUUUCAUGUACUAUUUCUAAAUCAAUCCCGCUCCCACCCCCGCUUUGUGCAACUAAGGUAUGGAGAACAACUAGAAUCACAUAUUAAAAACUAUAAAUAUUUUUAUGUUUUGUAUUUUAAGUAGUAGAAUAAUAUUUUCUUUUUGACGUCUAACUACAUUAAAAUACAUAAAAAUCAAUAGUUUUUCCUAAACGCUCCUGACGGCGCUCCCACACUUCUAUGAUCAUCCGCUUCCCCACUCCCGCUCCCGUUCCCAUUCCUGCUCCCGCUUCGUGCAACUAAGGAAUGGUUCCAUCCGCAUUCUUUAAAUGCCCAAUAUGCUCAAGUUAUACUGUUAGCCAUGAACACCCCUUUUUUACACAACUACACUUGGCUCCAAAGUUCGAACAAUUAUGAAAAGGGAGGAUAUUAGGGAAACAGUGAGUGGAGAUUCCCCUGCAGAGAGCCGGAUGAGGGGAGACCUUCACAUCAUGUUUGGAGGGCAGGGAUAUCCCAACCCUACUAUCAUUAUGGCUUUGUAAUGUUACUUGGUGGAUCGACUGAAUCAAAUUCAAAAAAGCCCUUUUCAACAUCUGCUUCAUGAAUUGAAGGGAUUGAUCAAAAUUCUCAGGGUUGUUUAGGUGGCAUCUCUUUUGCUGUUUAGGGUAAAAUGUUUGAAUGCCAAACAAUUCCACGGCUGUCAUCCCUUUAGAUAUUCUUAUUCCUUCAGCAUUGCACCUCUAGUUGGGAGGUUGCUGAUGACCAAUGGUUUUCCACGUGCCUAGCAUCUGAAAUUUAAUUACCUGUAACACUCAUC
This is a long non-coding RNA of Rhododendron vialii, 2005 nucleotides long. RefSeq lists it as uncharacterized. The record is from RefSeq and is a predicted model, not a curated record. The transcript has 3 exons. Lineage: Eukaryota; Viridiplantae; Streptophyta; Magnoliopsida; Ericales; Ericaceae.